This 119-nucleotide ribosomal RNA is filed under the name Chelonoidis abingdonii (Abingdon island giant tortoise). Lineage: Eukaryota; Metazoa; Chordata; Testudines; Testudinidae. The record is from RNAcentral.
UUCCCUGGUUACACCAAAUUCUUGCACCCUGAACAUGCCUGAUCUCAGAAGCUAAGCAAGGUCAGGCCUGGUUAAUAUUUGGAUGGGAAACCUCUUGGGAAUUUUGGGUGCUGUGUGGU